RNAcentral lists this ribosomal RNA (127 nucleotides) under uncultured bacterium. Its description in RNAcentral is "partial 16S ribosomal RNA". The record is from RNAcentral.
AUGUCAGGGCUCACCGCUAUUAACGAUGAACUUUUCUUCCCAAUUGAAAGUGCUUUACAACCCUAAGGCCUUCUUCACACACGCGGCAUGGCUGCGUCAGGCUUUCGCCCAUUGCGCAAUAUUCCCC